GAUGAAGAACGCAGCGAAAUGCGAUAAGUAAUGUGAAUUGCAGAAUCCAGUGAAUCAUCGAAUCUUUGAACGCACAUUGCGCCCGCCAGCAUUCUGGCGGGCAUGCCUGUCCGAGCGUCAUUUCAACCCUCAAGCUCAGCUUGGUGUUGGGCCCCGCCGCCCCGGCGGGCCCUAAAGUCAGUGGCGGUGCCGUCCGGCUCCGAGCGUAGUAAUUCUUCUCGCUCUGGAGGUCCGGUCGUGUGCUCGCCAGCAACCCCCAAUUUUUUUCAGGUUGACCUCGGAUCAGGUAGGGAUACCCGCUGAACUUAAGCAUAUCAAUAAGCGGAGGA
Molecule: unclassified non-coding RNA, 329 nt
Filed under: soil metagenome
Description: partial contains 5.8S ribosomal RNA, internal transcribed spacer 2, and large subunit ribosomal RNA
Rfam family: 5.8S ribosomal RNA (bases 1-120)
Source: RNAcentral